UACGGGGGGAGCAAGCGUUGUUCGGAUUUACUGGGCGUAAAGGGCGCGUAGGCGGUCGUGACAAGUCACUUGUGAAAUCUCCGGGCUUAACUCGGAACGGUCAAGUGAUACUGUCGGACUAGAGUACAGAAGGGGGCAACUGGAAUUCUCGGUGUAGCGGUGAAAUGCGUAGAUAUCGAGAGGAACACCUGCGGCGAAGGCGGGUUGCUGGGCUGAUACUGACGCUGAGGAGCGAAAGCGUGGGGAGCGAACAGG
This 255-nucleotide ribosomal RNA is filed under the name uncultured bacterium. Its description in RNAcentral is "partial 16S ribosomal RNA". It matches the Rfam family "Bacterial small subunit ribosomal RNA", at positions 524 to 776 of the family's 1533-position model. The record is from RNAcentral.